Molecule: long non-coding RNA, 1013 nt
Organism: Dromaius novaehollandiae (emu)
Lineage: Eukaryota; Metazoa; Chordata; Aves; Casuariiformes; Dromaiidae
Exons: 3
Source: RefSeq, a predicted model, not a curated record
AUUUUCUAAUAAGUGGAGAUAUUUAUUAGAUCUGACAUUGAUUGAGAGCCCACAACAGGGUUUGGCUGAGAUAAAUAAAAGCUGCCUCAAAACCCCAACCCUGCAGGGUUUGUACCCAGGUGUGGGUCUUUCUUGGAAAUGGUGGGUUCCUGUCAUUUCAGGACUGAUCUACAUCUGUAGUACUCAAGAGCAGAUCAGCCUCAAGGGUGGUUCUCAGGGAUUCAUUAUCUGGCUCUUUUCAUUAGAGAGUAAUUUUAUGGUCGUCUGUGUGAAGCAAUAAUGUCCACUUGAAGGCUUAGUGCAUUUCCUCACUUCUCAUCUGAUUCUGCUCUUUGGCAGCAGAGGAUGCUGUGAAGCUGCAGAAGCUCUGGGAGUAUGAAGGGAAGGAGAUCUCUGAGCUGGACUCUUUUCUGCCAUCAUCUGGAGGGCAGGAUCUUUUUGAGGCCUGUGGGAGGACAGGAUGUGCCAGGAGACCUGAACCACUGGUGAUACAAGCGAGCACAGCAUCUGCUGUUUCAAGGAGAGUGCUGUGGCUGAGGGAGAAGGGCACUACCAUCCUUAUGGGCUGUGCCACUGUAGCCGUUUAUACAGACUAACUGUAAUGUUCGCUGUUAUGAAAGUCCACUCUGAAGCCAAAAUACACACCCUUACUUCUUCCCUGGAAUAAUCGUACAGUUCGCUGCAGUCUUCAAGAUACAAAAAAUCAGGGAAUCUCACAGUCUACACUUGCGGAUCACACUUCUGUAAGAAACAUGUAAGUAAACAUUGUAUACUAUUCAGCUUUUUUUUAACAGUUGCAGUUAUUAAAAUAGAAAUUUUAGUCAAAAUGUAGCUGCAGCAGUGCCACUGCCCACUCUGGCAUCAGCAGGGAGGGUUUCAAAGCAAGUGUGGAGAAUCAACAGGAGAGACAGUUUUAGGACGGGGAAGGCAGUUUCCGUGGAAAUAGGUGCUAUGCUCACCCUUGCUGACAAGGAAGAUGACCAGUAUAAGAAUCAGAGUACAGCAAAGGAGUG